CAGGAAUCAGAGUUGCAGUUUGAUCUAGGGUCAGGAACCAGGGGCCAGAGUUGGUGCCAGGAGGUAGGCCAAGGUGAGGAAGUAGAAGUCAGAAGCAGGAGACAAAGCCAAGUCAGAAACCAGGAAGGGCGUAUCAUGUGGGGGCACCACAGAAGAAGUGCUAAGGAAGCUAUUGGAGAAUCAGACAAGCAGUGCAUGAAUCAGAAGAGUUUACAUACUCUCAGGCAUUCCUGAAUUUUUCAACCAGACAAAGUAUGUUGUUGCUUUUUCUGCGAGGAAGAACAAAAGUUUGCCAACUGAGUAAGAGCUUGCAGCAGUUACAAUGAGAAG
Molecule: long non-coding RNA, 330 nt
Organism: Mauremys mutica (yellowpond turtle)
Lineage: Eukaryota; Metazoa; Chordata; Testudines; Geoemydidae
Exons: 4
Source: RefSeq, a predicted model, not a curated record